GUUAGCACAUACGAGACCAGACAAUGACUGAGUGACUGAGAGUGGUUUAUAUAGGGUGUGCGUUGAUUGAAGAAUGUGGAUCAGGUGGUGCUAAUUAGUACUCAGGGGAAUGUGAGUGCUGGUGAGUGAGAGAAGGACCUGGUGACUCCGUGACAUUUAGCUAGUAAUACAUGCAUUUUUAUACAUUUUAACAUAAGGCAAUGUUAUGGUUUUUAGACAUUCUGGGAAUUAAGGCUAGUCUGCAAGUGAGCAUCAGUUCAGAACUAUCUUAUAUAAUAUAUAUAGAAUGUUAUAGACAAAAAUGACAAAAAAUAUUUCCUGUAGCUGUUUCUUUACAUGUAUUUGGUUUUCUAAUGAUUUUCAUUUACAAACUGCCAUCUUGUCCACAAUUCUCAGUAAACACUUUUUUUGGCAUCUUCUGAAAACUUCAGGUAGCACUCAUGUCUUCAGCUUAAUCUCACCUCUGGUCAAUGUCAGCUCUGUUUGCUGUUUAUAAUCCUGAGCUGCUCCUUUCAGACCAGCACACACAGCAGAGAGUAUAAAAUCACUCUCAGAUUUACCAAAAGCCCUAAAAAAGCCUGGCAAGUUUAAACCUCUUUCAUAAAGGUCAAUGUUAAUCCAGACAAUUUCAAAACCAAACCCAACGCCAGCUGUUGCACAGGAAGUGGCAUGCAGCUACUGAAGAAUGCAUUAGAUGGUGGAGCAAUGAGGAGAGAAAACAUGAGCAGAGCAGAGCUAGUUUCUUGUUAAAGCUUGUUCUUCAGUGUCUCCAGCUGGUGGAGAGAAAAUAUGAUGCUAUAAUUAUACUCAGGAGCAAAAGCAAGAAGGGCAAUGAAGAUCCUCAGCUUUUAAGCAGCUAAAAUGCUGACACACCUCCUUUCCAGAAGCACACACUUUCUACACUAGAUGAGUGCCUUGUCCCUCAUCCCCAGCCCCUGCCCCAUGAUCUACUGGAAUGGAGUCAGGAUCAGCUCCAGCAGGUCACUGAGGAGGAAGACAGCAAAGACUGAGGUUCGACCUCCGCUCUUAUAAUGGCAGUACAGUACACUGAGAGCCCAAAUAAGAGCUGGAAAACCUGCACACACACCGGCGAUGAGGAAGAUGGACAGGCGGAUGGGUUUGGUGUUCAGGGUCGCACUGUCAGAAUACCAGUUCUUUAAGCAGUACAUGAUGUGGAACACUGUAUGUAAUUAAAAAUGGACAAAAGUAGUGAUGAAUGUUUCUUUAAUUAACAGCAAACUGUAAAUGACCCAAUACAGAGACAUACUAGCUUUGAUAAAUCCUUUUAUUUAAACCAAA
Tachysurus fulvidraco (yellow catfish) is the source of this 1299-nucleotide long non-coding RNA. RefSeq lists it as uncharacterized. Lineage: Eukaryota; Metazoa; Chordata; Actinopteri; Siluriformes; Bagridae. The record is from RefSeq and is a predicted model, not a curated record. The transcript has 5 exons.